AGCAGUGAUGAGCACGAUUCUGUCUGACCUGGUAUUGCAAGACUAAGUCUUCUCUGACCAGGAUGUGAUCAGUAAAUCUUCUCUCUGAGCUG
This is a small nucleolar RNA of Bombina bombina (fire-bellied toad), 92 nucleotides long. RefSeq annotates it as Z30 small nucleolar RNA. The record is from RefSeq and is a predicted model, not a curated record. The transcript has a single exon. Lineage: Eukaryota; Metazoa; Chordata; Amphibia; Anura; Bombinatoridae.